GUGCAGUGUUUGUGUGUGAACAGUUCGCUGGAACAGAGCUCUAAACAACACAGAAACAGGAUGAGGGCCACAAACGAACUGAAAUCCUCCAUGAAGUAACAUCUCAUCAUCAUCUCAUCACACUGACGUCAGCGCAGAUAGAGUUCAAAACAAACAUUUGGUCAUAUCUGCUAAUGUCCUGAGUUCAGUCCUGAGUUCAGUCCUUCACAGACCCACCAUCCCGCUGUGCUCAGCGCUGCUGUCCUUCAACAGCACACACGUGUCACUCCUAAUUCACCCUCAAACGGGCCUCUACAUGCGUGAAGGGCAGAGAAACAGCAGGACUGAUGCAUGAUGGGAAAUGACUGACAGCGGUCAAUCAGCUCUAAAUGACAGAUUUUCAUUAUUACAUGCAGAUAUGAAUUCCUCUGGGAUCUGGUGUGUGUGUGUGUGUGUGUGUGAGAGAGUGUGUGUGUGUGUGCGUGUGUGUGUGUGUGUGUGUGUUUGUGUGACACACUGGCGUCCUCUAGAGACACAUCCGCUCUGUUUCCCAUGAUGCAGCAGAAAUGCUGACACGUCUGAAUUAUGUCUCAUGUGACGUCGCAGCGAGGACAAUGACAGCUAGUCCUAACAGAGCAGCGGCCAUACAGUAUGUUUAUAUAUAUUAAUAAAUG
Molecule: long non-coding RNA, 653 nt
Organism: Sinocyclocheilus rhinocerous
Lineage: Eukaryota; Metazoa; Chordata; Actinopteri; Cypriniformes; Cyprinidae
Exons: 3
Source: RefSeq, a predicted model, not a curated record